UCUGAGCCGUUGAGUUAGCCGUUGCCGCAGGAACUCAAGGACCUUCCUCAAGGAGAGGAUCCGGACUCUCCAAAAAGAAGAUGGAAAGCUGUAAAUCGAUAACCUAGAAGAGAGGGGAGAAGAGAGAGGGUUCGAAAGGGAGACUGGUGUAGCCGCCGCCCUACUCUUCUUUCUUCUAAUCUCUGCCGCCUCAUAUCCACCCCCAACCGCCUUAGACCUCCUCUAAUGGAGGUCCAUGCUCAGGCCAAACGAGGCUUCUCUGUCAAAGAAGACGAAGUAGCUUCACGAUUGUGAAUAAGCGAAUUGAUACAUUUGAUGAUAGUUUGAAGAAAUUGGUUGAUGAGAUGUUCGAUGUAAUGUACAAGUAAGAUUUCUUAACUAUGUAUUUGAUACUGACAGUACGGGUUUCUCUAUUGUUGGUCAAGAGCAUUUGAGUUGGAGUUUCUCGUACCCUGAAGAUUUUUGAAACUUGAAUUUUAAUAUGAACUUCUGUUGUAUAGUAUUAUAGUUUACACCACUGACCUGUUAGGUUGUGGCAUACUUCUGAGUACUAAUCUAAAUUGAUCAGGCACUUUUUGCCAAAAGUAAUCAUUUGUGUUGCUUUUGAAGCUUGAGAGCUUGACAUAAUGAUGGUGAAAAAAGAUUAACACAUAAUGCCUACUCUUUUUUAAAACAGAGCCUUGAAUUAAAACUUAUAGAAGAAGCAAAUCUGUUACCGAGUGUCUGAAGGGUUGCUGAAAAGUCAUGGAAAGAUAUGGAGGAGAUGGUAUCUAAGAAACAGAUGGCCAAAGAAUUGGCAAAACUAAGAAGAGAGAUGUUGGAGUUGCUAUCAAAGAAACAGAAUGGGGAAUGUCAAGCAAUUGUAGUCUCAAAUCUGUCUGCGACCAAUCAGAAGUUGGAUCUUGAUACUUCUUUGUUGGUUCCUUUCAAAUCUGACCUUGAUAGUUCAUUUAUCACAUUGGAAAAGUAUACGGAACAACUGAUGGUUAUCUCAGAAUACAUGAGCAGAAUUGAGGAAGAGAUAAAAAAGCUUAAGUCCAAGGUGGAAGAAGAAGAAACAAAGUCGGACUCAUCAGCAUUAAUGGUGGUGACAGAGUUGUACUGAAAAAGAGAAAGAAAGUGAGAGAAAAUGGCAAACAACAGGAAGUGGGAACAAAAGGAGCUGAUAAUCAGAGCCAAACAAGCACAGCAGUAGAAAGGACAGCAGCAGAGGAAAAAGCAGUAAAGAUACAGAGGCUGAAGAGUGGGUUUAGGAUCUGCAAACCCCAGGGGACUUUCCUUUGGCCAAACAUGGUCAGCAACAACAACAACAAAUGCAACACCAUUACCAGCAUGUUGUCUUCUUCUCAGGUUGUGGUCCAGGUUGAAGAUCUUUUAGUGGUCCAGAUUUUUCAAUUAAAACUUGUAGGAACCAAGCGAAAUUGCAACGGGCAAGAAAAAUUUUCAUAGAGAAACUCAGGGUGCAUUGUGAAGAAAGUGGUGAAGAAAGCUCAGAGAUGGAAUCGGGUGUAUGCACUGAAGUGCCACAUAUCACAUGAAGUGAACCAUUUACAUGAGGGGCUUAAGCAUGUAAGUGUUAUUGCUGAACUGAUGUAAGGCUUCUCCUUCUUUGGGCCAUAGUGCGAUUUACAUUAAAGAUUCACGUAUCACUAGCUUGCCAAGUUUUCUGGAAAAGGGAAUCAAAUCCGAAGGCCAAGAUUUUGUGGGUAACUUCAGUUUUCAACAUGCUCAUAUUUUUUAAGGAAAAUGCAUCCCUGCACUGUACCCCUGUUUACUGUGGCAUGGUUAGGUCUUAUCUGGUGAAGUUGGUGGUCAAGCUCCCAAGAGGACAAAAACCUUGACACUAAGAGAUGUCCUUGGUAAAAGCUUAAAUGCUUGGAUAAUGGGUGGUCUAUCAAUCUAAGUUCAUGCAACUUGGGCCUGUGACCACCUCUCGGGUGCUUCAUUGUAAAAUAAAUGUACUGUAUUCUUUGAAUUUGGCAAGUAAAAAUUUACAGAUAUUUUGAUCAUACUUUUGUAUGCCCUUUUAAUGAUAUUCUUUUUGGACGGUUUUGAAGUUGAGGAUAAUUUUUGAUGUUGAGAAAUAUAGUUUUUGGAUGGUUUGGAAUGCACAGACAGUUUUUGGAUGUUUGAAA
Non-coding RNA from Camellia sinensis, 2135 nucleotides. NCBI's taxonomy places the organism in Eukaryota, Viridiplantae, Streptophyta, Magnoliopsida, Ericales, Theaceae. The record is from RefSeq and is a predicted model, not a curated record.